UACCAGCUCUCCGAGUGGUGUGGAUGUUUAUUGGGCCUAAAGCAUCCGUAGCUGGCUAAGUUAGUCCUUUGUUAAAUCCACCGAAUUAAUCGUUGGGUUGCGAGGGAUACUGCUUGGCUAGGGGACGAGAGAGGCAGACGGUAUUUUCGGGGUAGGGGUGAAAUCCUAUAAUCCCGGGAAGACCACCAGUGGCGAAGGCUGUCUGCUAGAACGCGCCCGACGGUGAGGGAUGAAAGCUGGGGUAGCGAACCGGAUUAGAUACCCCUGUAGUCCCUGAGCGGGCUGG
Molecule: ribosomal RNA, 286 nt
Filed under: uncultured prokaryote
Description: partial 16S ribosomal RNA
Rfam family: Archaeal small subunit ribosomal RNA
Source: RNAcentral